GACGUAGGGCGCGAGCGUUGUCCGGAUUUACUGGGCGUAAAGAGCGCGCAGGCGGUCGUUCAAGUCGCGUGUGAAAGCCCCCGGCUCAACUGGGGAGGGUCACGCGAUACUGGUCGACUCGAAGGCAGGAGAGGGUAGUGGAAUUCCCGGUGUAGUGGUGAAAUGCGUAGAUAUCGGGAGGAACACCAGUGGCGAAGGCGACUACCUGGCCUGUUUCUUGACGCUGAGGCGCGAAAGCUAGGGGAGCAAACGGG
This 254-nucleotide ribosomal RNA is filed under the name uncultured bacterium. RNAcentral describes it as "partial 16S ribosomal RNA". It matches the Rfam family "Bacterial small subunit ribosomal RNA", at positions 524 to 776 of the family's 1533-position model. The record is from RNAcentral.